This 708-nucleotide ribosomal RNA is filed under the name Cyanobium cf. diatomicola CAWBG525. Its description in RNAcentral is "bacterial SSU rRNA". It matches the Rfam family "Bacterial small subunit ribosomal RNA", at positions 776 to 1482 of the family's 1533-position model. Lineage: Bacteria; Bacillati; Cyanobacteriota; Cyanophyceae; Synechococcales; Prochlorococcaceae. The record is from RNAcentral.
GAUUAGAUACCCCUGUAGUCCUGGCCGUAAACGAUGAACACUAGGUGUCGGGGGAAUCGACCCCCUCGGUGUCGUAGCCAACGCGUUAAGUGUUCCGCCUGGGGAGUACGCACGCAAGUGUGAAACUCAAAGGAAUUGACGGGGGCCCGCACAAGCGGUGGAGUAUGUGGUUUAAUUCGAUGCAACGCGAAGAACCUUACCAGGGUUUGACAUCCUGCGAAUCCCUUGGAAACUUGGGAGUGCCUUCGGGAGCGCAGUGACAGGUGGUGCAUGGCUGUCGUCAGCUCGUGUCGUGAGAUGUUGGGUUAAGUCCCGCAACGAGCGCAACCCACGUCUUUAGUUGCCAGCAUUCAGUUGGGCACUCUAGAGAGACCGCCGGUGAUAAACCGGAGGAAGGUGUGGAUGACGUCAAGUCAUCAUGCCCCUUACAUCCUGGGCUACACACGUACUACAAUGCUACGGACAAAGGGCAGCAAACUCGCGAGAGCUAGCAAAUCCCAUAAACCGUGGCUCAGUUCAGAUCGUAGGCUGCAACUCGCCUACGUGAAGGAGGAAUCGCUAGUAAUCGCAGGUCAGCAUACUGCGGUGAAUACGUUCCCGGGCCUUGUACACACCGCCCGUCACACCAUGGAAGUUGGCCAUGCCCGAAGUCGUUACUCCAACCCGUAAGGGAGGAGGACGCCGAAGGUGGGGCUGAUGACUGGGGUG